RNAcentral lists this long non-coding RNA (5113 nucleotides) under Sus scrofa (pig). Its description in RNAcentral is "lncRNA (ENSSSCG00060060966.1)". The record is from RNAcentral. Lineage: Eukaryota; Metazoa; Chordata; Mammalia; Artiodactyla; Suidae.
AAUCGAGCGGAAGGCGGCGCGCGGCACGCAGUGCGCUCGGGGCUCCGCACCUCCCAGCCAGAAAAUGAGGUUCAGAGAAGUGAAAUGACCCACAAGGUCACAGAUCUAGGAUGGGUCAGACUUUGAUUCCACAAGCUCUGCUUUUUCCACGGUUCCACACAGUUACCAUGGCUUCACACACGCAAAAGCGCCAUCCUGCCACCUUCCUAUCAGGCACAGAUGAGCCCUCCACUGCGUGAAGGUUUCCAGUUUCCUUAGAUCCCUAGAGCAACCUGCCUUGAAGUCUUAGGACAGCAUGCUUUUAUUCAGUGUUUUUGCAGGAACACUUUCUUUGUCCAUAAACAAAGCCUUGAUAACCAAGAGAGUAGCACAGUAUUCUCCAUUGAGCUUUACCAUCCUAAAUUCCUAGGGGAACAUGCCUCAAACAACGUCCCAGACUUCUCCCCACAGAGAUUCUUUUUACCCUGGCGAAGGCCUGGGAUUUUGCAUUACUCAUCCUAGUGGCCCAGGGCUGGGAGAUAUCGAUUUAACAUAUUAAAAGUGGUCAACUGUGAAUGAUGUGCCCUAUAAUUGUGGGUACCCUGAGUACUAUUUUUCCGAAAACACAAACUAAAAGAGCUACCCUAGGUUCUUGGCUUCCUGAUUAUUUGUAAAAGAAUCAAGCUUCAGAGGAAAGGAUCUUCUCAACUUCAUUUUAGCACUUUUUCCAUAAGAAGACGUGGCCUGGGACAUCUGUAGUGCCUUUGGCAGACUCAUGCUUGCCCUUCUCUUGGAGAGGAACGGCUAGACCCUACAGUGACUUUAUGUUUAACCAUUUGAGGAACUCCCAGACUGUCUUCCACAGUGGCUGCACCAUUUUAAAAUCCUACCACCAACAGAUCUGCCUUGGACAAAGAUCCCUGUUUGGACUCUGAAGCUCAAUUUGAAAAUGACUUGUCUUUAUUAUUGAGAGUUUCAGUUGUCAGGCUGGCUUGGUGUUCGCCUACAGAGGUACCAAACAGUACGACUUUCAUCGUUAGAAGAAAAAGAAACUUGGGGGCGAGCAGCCGCCGCUGUACCCACAAUUCCUGCACCAAGACCACGUCCUGUGAGAAGCAGCUCAGACCCUGUGCAUUCGCAUUACAGUAAGUCACACACUACACACUCGGGAGAGAAGCAAGUGUCACCUACAUCCAAUGUUUAAUAGCCUGAUUUCAAAGCUUGGCCUGCCAUUUAUGUGUGUGACCUUGGGCAGUCGCUCGGAGCCUCCUGUCUAAAGCACGUCAUAACAGUGCCAGCAGCCAGUGGUCUGGUGGCUGUGGGCAGUGCAGUGGUGGACCCCUUAGCAGUAAUUUGAUGCGCUUACACUGACCCCAGGGUUGACCCUGGCAGAGUUCACACGAAACCUUUAACUAAACUUGGUACGUUUUCGCUCCAUUCUAUGGUACCCACCCCGCAGACGGGAACCUGGUUGACAGAGGUAAAUGCACAGCUGGAGGAUGAACUGCCCCCCCACCCAGUGCCAUUGCCAGGAAGGUGGUCUGUGACAGGGCUGGUUAACGUGUCAGUAGAGGCUCUUGGAGGGCACAGUGUGGCUUUCUUCCUUCCAUCCACUCCACUGCGGAGGGCUGGGAGGGCUCAGCAAUGCCGGGGACACUUGGGACUUAGAAGUAGAUUCCAGAUCUGUUUUAAGAUAACACUAAUCAGUGCCCUCCUUUGAUUACUGUUUCAUUUAUCUCGCCAAAAUAAAAUAACCUGGCUAAAGACAUGUAUUUAAGUACCUGCUCCUAUAUAUUAAAUAAUAACAAUGAAAAAACCUACACCUCAAGACGAAAGAGAAAAGGCGUGUUCUGAAAGCGCAGAUUACUCAGGAGAGCAGCAGUACCUGUGAGCUGCUGAGCAUCAGCAGUAAGGAGAUGCAGUCCCAGCAUCUCAGCAGGCUCCCGGCAUCUUCGCUCUCUCUCAGAAGGCUGUACAGGGAAGGACCUGGAGAGUACCACAUGCGCUAGGCGUGCUGGAUUGAGGAGUUUGGAAGAAGAAAGGCAGAAAAUGCCGGAUUCUCCAAGAACAGCAAUUCCGCUGCGUCCAGGGGUCCCGUUGCCCAUCAGGCAUCAGUGAAGGGAAGACCAGCCGGAUGGUGUGUUCUCCUUGCCGAUGUUGUCUGAAAUAGUGGAAAUAAGUGCACCUCUGCUCUCCCCGCAGAAGGAAGGGGAGUGGGGUGGAGCCUCCUGUCCCUGGAAGCAGAGACGCAACCCACGCGACCCCGAGGAAGAAGCCCUCCGGGCCAUGUCUGUGACGUAAAACACGGGAUGUUGUCCCCAGUGCAAACAUGCAAGAAACACACCCCGUGGGGAGCUGUGCUACGGUGAGGUGCACCUGCCACCUCAUCCUGGUGUUCACAGUGUUUGGCGGCUUUCAGCCAAGAUGCCCUUAACUAGGAGCAGCCCUGGAAUCUGGCAUCUCCACGUCCACCCCAGAAGGAUGGCCUUUCUACCAUUCUGUGACAGGCUUUCUCUAAAAUAAGCAUCAAGUAAGCCCCGCCCCAAACCAGCCAUUUUGCCCUAUUCCACCGGCGUGAUAAUGAAUUGGCCCAAACAGACCUUCUCCCAACAAUCCAUUAUCACGCCGGUGGAAGACCUUCUCCUUACUCCCAGAGUAGGUCUGAGGAAUGUUUAAAGGUCCAAGAGACACAGACUGUCUGUCAGAUUUUGGCACAAGUGGUGACAGCGCAGGUCAGUAGGGACGAAAGAGUCACUAAAACUGAGAGAUGACAGGGCUAGAGACACUGUUUAAAACCACCACAGGCAGGGAGGGAGGGAGAGGGGAUGGUGGGUGGGGGCCAAGUCCCCCAAGGAAGCGGGUGGUCAGAGGGCCUGCACCCCACCCCAUAGGAGAUGAUAAUGUGGGGGGCUGUGCAGGGGAAGGCCUGCCAGGAGAAGGGGUGUCGCCCAGAGCCCGCUGAGUGCAGGGCUUUCUCUCUGCUGACUUGCUCUAAGGCAGCCCAGGUAGAGCUAGUCCCGCCCAGGGUACCAAGCACAGCCAGGAAUAAACCAGAAAUCUGGAAGCCUGGCCUACCUCUGCCAGAAAUCUCAUAGCGGGCAACCUGAAAGCUCAGGAACAGUGCUUUCCUUCCAGUUAGUCUGUAAAUGGUGCCCUUUACAAGUGCCCUUUGAUGUGAUCUGUGGACAUUACAAGCGGGUUGAUGUCCUGGCCUUCCCAGCUUUGUUCUCUGCAGCUCACCUGUAUAGGCUCACUGGUUCAGCUCAAACACCCAGGAAGAUGGGCCCUUCUCUCUACUCAAGCCUGUGAAAUCAGGCCUUUAAGUAUAUUUGAAUUUUGAUAUUUAUGACAACAGUAUAAGCUUAUGAUUAUGAGAGGAAAACCAGUGUGAUUGUCACUGAGCAAUUCAGUAAAAUGAUUCUUUUUUUGGCCACAACCACGGCACGCAAAAAUUCUGGGUCUUGGAUCGAACCUUUGCCACAGCAGUGACAACACCCAAUCCUUAACUGCUAGGCCACCAGAGAACUCCCAAUAGAACAACUCCAGAUGUGAAAAGCGCUGUGUUUUACUUUUAACAAUAUACCAGGAGUUCCUCCUGUGGUUCAGCAGUAACAAGCCCAACUGGGAUCCAUGAGGACUUGGGUUCAAUCCCUGGCCUCGCUCAGUGGGUUAAGGAUCCAGCGUUGCCGUGAGCUGUGGCAUAGGUCACAGAUGCAGCUCAGAUCCUGCAUUGCUGUGGUUGUGAUGGAGGCUGGCAAGUGCAGCUCCUAUUGGACCCCUAGCCUGGGAACUUCCAUAUGCCGUGGGUGCAGCCUUAAAAAGCAAAAAACAAAACAAAACAAAACAAUACACCAAAAAAUAUUUUCCUGCUUUGGGAAGGUCUUCUUUAAUGAUGCUGAGAAGGAGAAUAAUAUAAUCUACAACUUAAAUUAAGAAGUUAGAGCAAUUAAGCUUCAUCUAGUGAAAGCCAAGCAUGUCUUUGCAAUAAAGAGGUAGCUAAGCACAGGAGAUACUUCGGUGGACAUAAAGGUCUUAACCUAGCUACGUAUCUUAAUUAUUUUUCUGAUGGAUCUAGGAAUUUUUCUUUUAAUAUGCCUGGUUCCUAGUAGAAAUAAAUAAGUUGGCUGGCCUGCAAGAUGGCUUUUUUUAAUCAGAAUGGACAAAGUCUUGUGCUUUGUGCUGUGUGCUUAAACAUAAUGAUAGAUAUUCAAAGUUCAAAUUCUCAGUGGAUCUCUGGACCGAAAGUUUUGUAAGAAAUCAAGGAAGAAGGACCACCACGCGCUAUAUCUAUUUCCUCUUGAAAAACAAUUUCUAGAUAUUGCCAGAGACCAAAGUUGUGAGUCAAAAUGUUUCUGUCGGUUUCCAUGUGGACACGGCCUGGUGCCCAUCACACCACACACGCUACCUGGAACUCAGACCUGGAAACUUGAAGAAUUGUCUGGAUUCCCUGGCAACAGGGCCUCAGGCAUCUCCUAGCCAGUGGGUCCUACGAAAGAGAUAAGCCACUUCAGCAAACUUGUCUCUCUCCAGCACUGGAAUGCAUCCAAAGGAAACACGAAAGACUCUGACAUCAGAAAACACCUGUUGACUUUGGAGCGCCCGUAUCAACAGCAGUAAAACACAGAGCAGAUGUGAGCCUGCUCUGGGGGGGUACGUGGAAUGUCAAGUAUGAAAAAAAUCAAGAGGAAAGGGAUAGGCACUUCCAAAUUCUUCUGCCUCUCUGUAAACAUGCCAUUAAUUAGGUUAAUUUUCUUAAAAUGUGGCCUCAAAAACCAUUCUAAGGUGGUCGCUUCAGGUUUCCAUUCCUAUAAAUCAAAGUCUGGUGAUAGAUGGUUUAAACGAUCAAUAGGUGUAUAAUCUCAACUCUAACUUUGGCCUAAAAUGUUCAUAGUAACUAUCCGUUCCUUUUAAAAAUUUCUUUACAAUUAAUGUAUAGUUGAUUUAAAAUGUUGUGCCGGUUUCUUUGGGAGUUCCCAUUGGGCUCAGCGGUAAUGAAUCUGACUAGUAUCCCUGAGGAUGCAGGUCCCACUCCUGGCCUCAGUCAGUGGGUUAAGGAUCCUAUGUUGCUGUGGCUGUGGCUUUUGCUCCUAUUCAACGCCUAGCCUGGGAACUUCCAUAUGCUCUACCUGCAGCC